GUCCGAAACAGCCUGUUCCCUUGCACAUGCCCCCUGGCUCCUCCUCCUUUGCUCUAGCCCAGCACGGGGCCGAAGGUUACCGCCUUUCUGUGUCCUUGACAGGCAGAAAUCCAACAGGUAUAUACACCCCACUUGCUUUCCUACUAUCAGAUCCUCUGAAGAUGCCAGCCACAGAUGCAGGCGAAACGUCAGGAGAGAAUGCUGCUAGAACACGGCCAUACAGCCCAGAAACCACACGGCACCCCAGUGAUUCCGGCCAUGAAAGCCUUCGACAAUGCAUUAACGGUUCAAUUAAUUAAAGCAUUUAUACUCCACCUUUCCACAGAGAAUAAGAGUUCUGGAUUCACCCAUCCAGCGAGGCUCACGGCAGAACGGGGAUUUGAACCUGGAAUUCCCCGAUUCUAGUCUUGUCUUCUAAACAUGGCGCCUCUCUGAUGGUCUCUAAUCUGCUGGAAUUACCACUGCUAAUUAUACUUGGUCAUAGUAUUUUCAAGGAUUCAGUGCUUAUAUCUCAGUAAUCCAUAGUAGACAGUUAUAAAGUUGAUCCAGCCAUUAAAGUGUAUAAUGGAAACGCAGAA
Molecule: long non-coding RNA, 578 nt
Organism: Sphaerodactylus townsendi
Lineage: Eukaryota; Metazoa; Chordata; Lepidosauria; Squamata; Sphaerodactylidae
Exons: 2
Source: RefSeq, a predicted model, not a curated record